RNAcentral lists this ribosomal RNA (229 nucleotides) under uncultured bacterium. RNAcentral's name for it is "partial 16S ribosomal RNA". It matches the Rfam family "Bacterial small subunit ribosomal RNA", at positions 524 to 757 of the family's 1533-position model. The record is from RNAcentral.
GACAGAGGAUGCAAGCGUUAUCCGGAAUGAUUGGGCGUAAGCGGUGUAGGUGGUCUGAUAAGUCAGAUGUGAAGCCCAGGCUUAACCCUGGAAGUGCAUAUGAUACUGUCAGGCUUGAGUGUGGAGAGGAUAGCAGAAUUCCUGGUGUAGAGGUGAAUUCGUAGAUAUCGAGGAGGAACACCGGUGGCGAAAGCGGCUCACUGGCCGAUACUGACGCUCAUGGUUCGAA